This 251-nucleotide unclassified non-coding RNA is filed under the name Ascomycota sp. RNAcentral's name for it is "partial contains 5.8S ribosomal RNA, internal transcribed spacer 2, and large subunit ribosomal RNA". Lineage: Eukaryota; Fungi; Ascomycota. The record is from RNAcentral.
CGCACAUUGCGCCCUUUGGUAUUCCGAAGGGCAUGCCUGUUCGAGCGUCAUUGAAAGCCAUCAAGCACAGCUUGGUGUUGGGCGUUUGUCCGGCCGUUUUGGCGCUGGACUCGCCUCAAACCCAUCGGCGGCACGGCGUGGGCUUGCAGCACAGCAGAUGUGUCGUUGCAAGCGCCCGCAGCGGGCCCGCCGCAAAGGCCUCUUUCUCUUGAAUCGACCUCGGAUCAGGUAGGGAUACCCGCUGAACUUAA